This 301-nucleotide ribosomal RNA is filed under the name uncultured bacterium. RNAcentral describes it as "partial 16S ribosomal RNA". It matches the Rfam family "Bacterial small subunit ribosomal RNA", at positions 509 to 807 of the family's 1533-position model. The record is from RNAcentral.
CAGUAGCCGCGGUAAUACAGAGGGUGCAAGCGUUAAUCGGAUUUACUGGGCGUAAAGGGCGCGUAGGUGGUUAUUUAAGUGAGAUGUGAAAGCCCCGGGCUUAACCUGGGAACUGCAUCUUAUACUGGGUAACUGGAGUGCAGUAGAGGGUAGUGGAAUUUCCGGUGUAGCGGUGAAAUGCGUAGAUAUCGGAAGGAACACCAGUGGCGAAGGCGGCUACCUGGACUGAGACUGACACUGAGGCGCGAGAGCGUGGGGAGCAAACAGGAUUAGAUACCCCUGUAGUCCCUGUCUCUUAUAC